Molecule: ribosomal RNA, 223 nt
Filed under: uncultured bacterium
Lineage: Bacteria
Description: partial 16S ribosomal RNA
Rfam family: Bacterial small subunit ribosomal RNA
Source: RNAcentral
UACGGAGGGUGCGAGCGUUGUCCGGAAUCACGUGGGCGUAAAGGCGCGUAGGCGGCCUGAUAAGUGAGGGGUGAAAGUCCUGCGGCUUACCGCAGGGCUGCCUUCUAAACUGUCAGGCUUGAGCACAGUAGAGGCAGGUGGAAUUCCCGGUGAUAGCGGUGGGAAUGCGUAGAGAUCGGGAAGAACAUCAGUGGCGAAGGCGGCCUGCUGGGCUGUUGCUGAC